This 491-nucleotide ribosomal RNA is filed under the name uncultured bacterium. RNAcentral's name for it is "partial 16S ribosomal RNA". It matches the Rfam family "Bacterial small subunit ribosomal RNA", at positions 29 to 507 of the family's 1533-position model. The record is from RNAcentral.
GUGAACGCUGGCGGUAGGCCUAACACAUGCAAGUCGAACGGCAGCACAGUAAGAGCUUGCUCUUACGGGUGGCGAGUGGCGGACGGGUGAGGAAUACAUCGGAAUCUACUUUUUCGUGGGGGAUAACGUAGGGAAACUUACGCUAAUACCGCAUACGACCUACGGGUGAAAGCAGGGGAUCGUCGGACCUUGCGCGAUUGAAUGAGCCGAUGUCGGAUUAGCUAGUUGGCGGGGUAAAGGCCCACCAAGGCGACGAUCCGUAGCUGGUCUGAGAGGAUGAUCAGCCACACUGGAACGGAGACACGGUCCAGACUCCUACGGGAGGCAGCAGUGGGGAAUAUUGGACAAGGGGCGCAAGCCUGAUCCAGCCAUACCGCGUGGGUGAAGAAGGCCUUCGGGUUGUAAAGCCCUUUUGUUGGGAAAGAAAAGCAGCAGGUUAAUACCCCGCUGUUCUGACGGUACCCAAAGAAUAAGCACCGGCUAACUUCGUG